Homo sapiens (human) is the source of this 674-nucleotide long non-coding RNA. RefSeq annotates it as SLC22A23 antisense RNA 2. The transcript has 2 exons. Lineage: Eukaryota; Metazoa; Chordata; Mammalia; Primates; Hominidae. The record is from RefSeq and is marked validated.
AAACUAGUAAAGGCUAUGGUGCUCCCUUUACACCCAAGUAAAGGCAUGUGGUUUGGGGGACGGAAGGAGAUUAAGCCAAUGCGGAAUGCCCUACACACACUCUAGCACCACCACUUUGGGGACUUCGGUUCUCCCGCUGGCUCGGGCUUGGACCUCGGUCUGCAGGGAGAGGGUUGGAGGGACUGGGCGGCUGCGGCCCUUACCUUGCUGACCACGUUCUGGACGAGGCCGGCGCGGAUGCCGUAGUCCCAUGCGCGGCAGUCACAGUUGGAGGCGUUGUCCCCCUUGUCCGGAGGGGAUGGCAGGGGUGGUGUGUCGCCUCCGUCCGCGCCGCUGCUGUUGCUCCGGUUGCCCGCAGCCUCCCAGGGGGCAGUGGCGAAGGGGGUGGUGGGGAGGCUGGUCCAGUUGCCCAUGUCCCCGCCCCGGCCUGUGGUGGUGACCCCUGCCAGCUCGGUGCCUUUGCCGGCCCCGCGGCACCAGAAGUUGGGCUGGUCCAGGAGGAACGAGUCCGAGAACUGGCUGAAGCCGAUGAACAGCGCCGGGAUCCAGGUACCCUACGCGAAGGAAGGAUCAUUGCACCAUUACGGAGACGAGGAUACAAACUGUCAGGCCUCUGAGCCCAAGCUAAGCCAUCACAUCUCCUGUGACCUGCACAUAUACAUCCAGAUGACCUG